AGGAGCCGGAUGAGUGGAGACGCUCACGUCCGGAUCUGAGAGAGCCUGGGGGUGAAAUUCCCCCGGGCCACUCGAC
This 76-nucleotide non-coding RNA is filed under the name Phyllobacterium brassicacearum. Lineage: Bacteria; Pseudomonadati; Pseudomonadota; Alphaproteobacteria; Hyphomicrobiales; Phyllobacteriaceae. The record is from RNAcentral.